AUUUACACGAGGGCUACACGUUCUAGCGUGUAGCCCUUUAAACCGUUUGAAUUUUUUUUUUUUUUUUCAAUUUUUCUUCUCUUUAUAACUAAUUCUAUCAUGUAAGCUAUCAUGUAACCCCACUGCAGCAUCUUUACACCAUGUGGUCCCCCAUCAUAAAGUAGGCUAUCAUGUAAGCUAUCAUGUAACCCCAUUGCGGAUGCUCUAAU
RNAcentral lists this long non-coding RNA (209 nucleotides) under Salvia miltiorrhiza (redroot sage). RNAcentral's name for it is "long non-coding RNA (SMIL_LNC009081)". Lineage: Eukaryota; Viridiplantae; Streptophyta; Magnoliopsida; Lamiales; Lamiaceae. The record is from RNAcentral.